ACCUGCCUUGUUGAUAGUGUUGUUAAGAAGGUAGAAACUAGGGCCUGUAGGACUUGCCUUGUUGAUAGUGCUUUUAAGAAGGUAGAAACUAGGGCCUGUAGGACCUGCCUUGUUGAUGGUGUUGUUAAGAAGGUAGAAACUAGGGCCUGUAGGACCUGCCUAGUUGAUAAUGUUGUUAAGAAGGUAGAGCAGUGCAAUUUUUUCCAAAGGUUUACCAAGUGUCAUUAACAGGCCUAUUUGGUCAGCUAUUUGAGCCAGUAAAGGGGGCUUUACUAUUCUUAGGUAGUGGAAUGACUUUAGCUUCCCUCCAGGCCUGAGGACACACACUUUCUACUAGGCUUAAAUUGAAUAUGUGGCAAAUAGGAGAUGUAAUAUUGUCCACUAUUAUCUUCAGUAAUUUUCCAUCCAAGUUGUCAGACCCCGGUGGCUUGUCAUUGUUGAUAGACGACAAUCAUUUUUUCACUUCUUCCACACUCACUUAACGGAAUUCAAAUGUACAAUUCUUGUCUUUCAUAAUUUGGUCUGAUAUACUUGGAUGUGUAGUGUCAGCGUUUGUUGCUGGUAUGAGUAGGUGUGUCCAAACUUUUGACUGGAAGUGUGUACUUGUAUAUGUAUAUGUAGUGUCAGUGUUUGUUGCUGGCAUGUCAUCCCUAAAUUUGCUAAUCUUUCCAAUUAAACAAUCAUCAAAGUAGUUGGCAAUAUCAGUGGGUUUUGUGAUGAAUAAGCCAUCUGAUUCAAAAAUGUAUCUUUGUUUCAUAGUGUAGUUUCUUAUCCUUUUCAUGAACAGUUUAGCACAGCAUUGAGGUGAUGGUAUCUGACAUGAACAGUUUAGCACAGCGUUGACAGUAUCUGACAUGAACAGUUUAGCACAGUGUUGACAGUAUCUGACAUGAACAGUUUAGCACAGCGUUGACAGUAUCUGACAUGAACAGUUUAGCACAGCGUUGACAGUAUCUGACAUGAACAGUUUAGCACAGCAUUGACAGUAUCUGACAUGAACAGUUUAGCACAGCGUUGAGGUGAUGGUAUCUGACAUGAACAGUUUAGCACAGCAUUGACAUGAUGGUAUCUGACAUGAACAGUUUAGCACAGCAUUGACAGUAUCUGACAUGAACAGUUUAGCACAGCAUUGACAGUAUCUGACAUGAACAGUUUAGCACAGCGUUGACACUAUCUGACAUGAACAGUUUAGCACAGCAUUGAUGUGACAGUAUC
This is a long non-coding RNA of Oncorhynchus tshawytscha (Chinook salmon), 1215 nucleotides long. The record is from Ensembl. Lineage: Eukaryota; Metazoa; Chordata; Actinopteri; Salmoniformes; Salmonidae.